UUCAAUCUUCAUACCUGCCAUCAGUCCCGAGUGAAAUGCUGCUGCUGCUGCUGCUGCUGGAAUAGGUGUGUCAGACAACAGGAUCAUGGAUUUGAACAGUGAAAUCAACCCAAAGCAAGCGGUUGUUUAUGAGAGGGAGCAAAGCUGUUGUGGCCGCAGAAGAGCAAAGAUGCUGCCCAACGUCAUGCCUCAGGGACGGAGGUGAACGAGAAGGUUAUCGACCUGACCACGGGAACAAAACCCCCGCCAGUGAAAGACAUCGAGGACAAAACUCCCAGUUGAAGUUGCUGGGAAAUGUGCCACUAAGGUGACCCUGCUUGAGGAGGAAGGUUGGACCAGAUAUCCUCCAGAGGUCCCUUCCAACAUCAGCCAUUCUGUGACUCUCUGAUUUUUAUGCCAGCAAUGAUUCCCGAAUUUACGGAGCUGAAUGUAAAGCCCAGUCAAUGAGAGACCUCACCUUUGGGAACUUGCUCUUUCCUCUCCUGUGAGAGGCCUGGCCCGUGCUGUAAGACUUUCCUGUUGCACAAGCAUCUUCCAGGAGGGAUCUGGAGGAUGCUCUGAGGGAGGAUGAUAACGGUGACAUACACCUAGUGCAGGAAAGCAUGGGCCCUUAGAGCAGCGUGGUAAUGCACUUGGGUCACAACAGCCCCAUGCAACGCUACGGGCUCGGGAAAGAGUGGCUGGGAAGCUGCCUGGCAGAAAAGGACCUGGGGUAUUGUCUGACAGCUGGCUGAAUAUGAGCCGGCAGUGUGCUCGGGUGGCCAAGGAGGCCAAUGGCAUCCUGGCUUGUGUGUUGAAAUAGUGUGGCCAGUGGGACUAGGGAAAUGAUCGUCCCCCUGUUCUCAGCACAGCUCCUCAAAUACUGUGUUCAGUUUUGGGCCUCUCACUACAAGAAAAACAUUGAGGUGCUGGAGCGUGUCUAAAGAAGGGCAACGAAGCUGAUGAAGGGUCUGGAGAGCAAAUAUUAUGAGAAGUGGCUGAAGGAACUGGGGUUGUUUAGUCUGGAGAAACGGAGACUGAGGGGAGACCUUAUAGCUCUCUACAACUACCUGAAGGGAGGUGGGGGUCAGCCUCUUUCCUGAAGUAACAAGUCAUAGGACAAGAGGAAAUGGCCUCAAGAUGUGCCAGGGGAGGUAUUAGGAAAAAUUUCUUCCC
Molecule: long non-coding RNA, 1155 nt
Organism: Tyto alba (common barn owl)
Lineage: Eukaryota; Metazoa; Chordata; Aves; Strigiformes; Tytonidae
Exons: 3
Source: RefSeq, a predicted model, not a curated record